Molecule: non-coding RNA, 7943 nt
Organism: Oryza sativa Japonica Group (Japanese rice)
Lineage: Eukaryota; Viridiplantae; Streptophyta; Magnoliopsida; Poales; Poaceae
Source: RefSeq, a predicted model, not a curated record
UCGUGCUCGCUAACCGGGUCCUCAGGUUACAACCCAUUAUGACUAGUCAAUAGGAUGAGCUCGAUGGGCUUUUUACCGUUCCCCUCCUAGAGAAAUUCUCCCUCCGUCGACGCGAAAUGAGAGGCGAUGCCAUUGACGAUUCUGAGGCGAUUUGUUCUUCGGUUCCCUACUCGAUCUUAGUGGUAAUCUAUGGCGAGGUUCUUAUUUUGGAAGCUUGGAAUCUCUGUGCCCGUUUUGGAAUUUGAGUUCUAUUAUCUGAAAUCCUCGUCGUUAAAUGGAUUUGUGAGCCACUAAUUUGACUGGAUUUGAGGUUCUUCUUCGAUUCCGAGACGUUGAGCUCCCUCGUUAUCUAGGCGAAAGGCUUGCGAGGAAUGUGGUGACCAUGGCGGUUUGGGAGGCGUCGACCAAGCCGCUGGCUGCCAAUAAUGGAGACGACCGAGUUCAUCAACGCCUUGAAACAGGAGUGGGACAGAAUUGAGGACAAGUACACGGUGAUGACACUCGCAGCCACUGCGUCGCUCAGGAUGUGGAGCCGGCGGAGUUGCAUCGGCAAUUGGCAUGCCUCAUGUUAUUCCUGGUCUAAUGAAGGCUGUUGGCAUUGUGUACAGUGAAGGUGACUGAACAGAAGCUUGCCGUAGUGUUUCUAAUUGUGGACAAGUAACUUAUACUUGUUCAUCUCUGAAAUCUGAAAUUACUCUCUGUCCUGGAGACUGUACUGGAAGAAGCUAUACUGCUACUAAAGUUCAGAUUGGACAUAUAAGUUCAGAAAAAAAAUCAGAAUUAUAUCUUGAAUUCAUAUAAGUUCAAAAAAUUCAGAAUUAUGUCUUGAAUUCAUACAUCUGAGUACAGAAAUUGAUACCAUUUAAGUUUCUCAGAUCUGUUCAAAUAUGCAAUACAAAAUUGUCAGAUGUUUUCUGUGAAGUUCUGUGAUGUUUCUGUAAAGUUUUUAAGUCUAGAAGUUUUUUUUUUGUUAUGAAUUUAACAUGCUGAUUGGUUUUUCGAUUGGUUUUCCUCUUUCUCCUUGUAUUUGAUUCUUCUCCUCCAUCUCCAUCUCCUCCUUCUCUUCUCUCUUUGAUAGAUCUGUUUGUGUGUAAAAAUCCCGAAGUGUUUUAUUCUUGCAAACCAAGUUGCUUUAUUGCUUUACUGAUCAGAUCACGUGACACUGUAAAGAUUCUUCUUAGUAGUCAAGUUUUCUCAAUAGGGUAUAAGGUACGCGAUUCUGUUAAUCUGGGCCUAAUAUUAGAUUUGAGUAACGGUUUGAAUUUGGGCUAUUAUUUGGAUUUGGGUCCUGGUAGCAUCGAAUUGAUUUGGGCCCAUUAGCAUCAAAUGUAUUUGGGCUCAAAUAAAUGGGUCAUGAAUAGCCUUUCAGAUUUAGGCUAGUAUGUUUUUUUUUUUUAAUUUUUUGUUCUAAAAAAACUGAGGCUGUUUGAUUCAGAUCUUGUGGCUAGAAAAUUCGACAGAUUGCAAGUUAAAAAAUCGGUCGACUGAGUUGUAUUGUAAUUCUCCUCAAGUAAUGAUAGACCUAUUUCAAACAUAUGAAUUUGCAAUUUUUUCCUCAACUAACUAAUGGAGGCAUGAAAGUUACUAAUCAGAUUUAAACAAUAUAUCAAUUACCUGAUUGUGAUGUUGUUGCGUUCAUGUCCAUGUUAAUUUCUUCUUCUGAUAAAAGCUUUGUGAUAUACCUGCAUAUAUAGACACAAAAUUACAGUGUUUAGAAUUUAAAAUUACAGUGUCUGUAACAUGUAAUUAUGAAAUAAAUUGACUGUAAUUUCACAUAAGUGACUCAUACCUGAACUUGGUACAUGUUUUGUCACUCUUGAAUUGCUAUCUUCAUUAUUCCCAUCUUUGAAUCCUUCAAAUUUAGACAUUUUUUUUCUCACAGUGUAAAUUAAGUAGUUAAAAUACUUUAUAUAAUUCUAUCUUCUAAUUUUGCUCUAGAUUCUUUCCAGAUUUUCUUGAUCACAAGUUGUCAAAAUUUGUAUAACUACCAUUAGCAAAAUGUAAAUGUACAUGCAAAUUGGAUGAGUGAAAGUACAACAGUUACAUACCUGUGCUUUGAAGUUGCUUAUCUUCCACUAUAUUUUGAUAGUUUGAUGAAUUUUUCUUCUUACUACUGAUACAAUUUUUCUCUUUGUCCUCUGUGAUGAUUGCAAAUAAAAUGUUUUUUUUUAUUUUCAUAUUAAUUUUCCUGUUUGGUUCUUACUGUGAUAGAAUCUUAGUUUGAAAUAAUGCACUGCUAUAUCAAUCAAACAUACCUGGAUUUAUUAACCACUUUUAUAAAAAAAAUCACUAUAAUUUAAAAAUAGUGAUUCAUACCUGUACUUGAUAUCUCAUUUGUCAUUGUUAAGCUGCUAUUAUCAUCAUUGUCACCUUGUAUACUUACAAAUGAAGGGAAAUUUAAGUUGAACAUUUUGUUUCCAGGUAAUGACAAAUUAGAUUUGAAACUAAGCUCAUCACAGUUGUGACAUUUACAUAUUUUUUAUUUAGAAAUUACAGAGUUUUGUUUGUGUAAUUCCUACAUAAUUUCACUGUAAUUAGUUUGAAUAGUUAUUAAAUACAACAUACUGAUAGAUUUUUCUAAAUAUCUGUUUGAUUCUAAAUUAAGAACUACUUAAAAAUUAAUAUUAGUUCUUUCAUUAUGGUAUUAUAUUUUUUUUACUUUUGAUUUAUGACAUCCUAAUUCAUAGGAAGAUAAAAUCAUAUGGAAUUGAAAUUCAAAAAUUUUAUAACGGUUUGUCUCUUAUCAUGCACUUUUCUCUUUUUCUGUACUUUUUAUGCAAUAAUUGUACAAAUUGAACAAUUAGAAACCUCUACAUUUGUUUCCAGAUUGGAGAUGCUCCUAUUCCACAUUCUUUACAAUAUUUGAUGCUUUUCCUUUGUUAGUUGUGAUGCCUGGAAAUAAUUGUAGAAAAUGAACAACAUAUAAAAUCAUACAAAAUAUCUUUUGACUAUGUUGAAAUUACAUAAACGUUACAUUGAAAUUACUGUGUUUAUUAAAUGUAAUUCCUGUACCAAAUGAUUGUAAUUACAUAUAUAGUUGCAGAAAAAGAAGUCUAUAUGAAAUCAAACAAAAUUACAUACAAAUGCUCUAAAUUUAAGUUUUGGAGCCAGUUACAUGAAUUUAUUACUGAAAUUAUAGUGUUUUUUCUAUGUAAUUCUCAUACGAAUUCAUUGUAAUUUGACUUAUAAGUUAGAAAACAGAUCCAAUUAAACUGUUUUUUCUUUAUAAGUAAUCAACUGUAUUGUUUUGGGUCAAACUUGCUUUCUACAAUUUGCUUUUAGAUGAACUUAUAGUACGAUUUGAUUUUGAUCCGCCUGCUAGUGAACUAAUGUAAGCAAAGUUUGUUUCUCUUGACUCAUUUAAUGAAAUCUGCUUGAAAGUUAGUUUAUGCUACAAGUGAACUUUUUGAAAAUUAAUUUUGUACAGAAUUGGAGAAAGAACAAAUAACUUGUAUCAUUGUUUUUCUCUCAGAACUUUAAAUUGUAAAGAAUUAAGUAAUGUUCAUUUGUGCUAUAUAUAAACACUUUUUUGAUUAAAAGUUAUACCCUGUUUAUUUUUUUUUCCAAACAGUUAAUGUAUGUUUUGAUUUGUGUAUCUUUGCAGACCAUUUUGCAAUGGAAUACAAAAUUACAGUUCAAAUCAAUCCAACUACGCAAAAUAAUCAAUUUUUGAAUCUGAAAAUAUUCAAAUUUGAAACUGUAUAGUGUUAGUGAAAUAAUCAAAUCGUUGAAUAUAUAUUAGUGAAAUAAUCAAAUCGUUGAAUAUCUAUUUUAUUUCUGUUUACUAAAAUCAGUUUAUUUUGGAAGAUAAGUUAAAGUUUAGACUUAAUUUGAUUAUAAGAUUUAAAAUUCUGCCUAUUCUCCAGACUUUAAAUUUAACAUUAAUGUUGUAAUGUUAAAUGCUCUAGAUUUACACUGAUAUAUCACAAUAGGUACAGCACAAAUCAUUCUUCUAAAUGUUCAGAUUAAAUAAUAAGUCAAACAGUUCAGAUUAAAUUAUUAUUCCUGGAUAGAAUUGUUCCUGUAUCUGUUUUUCUCUGUGUGAAGUCCUGAAGUGAUUUGCUUUUUCUUGAAGUGAUGAUCAGAUCACGUGAGUUUCCAAAGAUUCUUCUUGGCUGUCAAGUUUUCUCAAUUUGGUAAUGAGUCACGUGAACUGUGCAAGACAAAUUGGGCUUUAUUUGGGAUUUCAAUUCUGAUUCUGAAGAUCAAAUUUGUUUGAGCAGUGAAUCUUAAAAAUUUGUUAUUGGGCUUAAAUUUUAUUAUAUGAUGGGCCUUUAAUUUGAUUCUCCUUUUGUUGUUAUACAGUGGGCUGAAAACAUCAGUUUUGGGCUUUUUUUGGGCCACGAACUAAUUUGGGUCCUGAAAGAUGGGCUUGCGAAUACACUGUUCCUAGCCUGUUUGUAGUUUUUCAAUUAUCUGUAUAACUAGCAAAAUGCCCGUGCUUCGCUACAGUGUAUUAAAACUAAAAAUAUUUGUUUUAACCGAAGUUAUUUUCACACUGCUUUAAUACUUUUGCUCGCUAGAAAAAGUUUCAAAUGACAGAGAGAAAUAUAGUUCCGAACAAAAGGGAGAUAAAAAAAGACAAAGCCGGUUUGAUUUCCACCUUUAGACGGUGCAAGUCAACAUGGACUCUGAAGAUAUGGGUAGAUCUACGGAGUGGCUCGGCAGCACGGUCGACCAGCGAACCCACUCAGACCAAUCGACGACCGAUCGACGACCGUAGCACGCCUUCAUCCGUCCUGUGACGAACGGAAAGCCCAUCCCUCCUGGCCAUCGGCGAAAACCAUAGCCUCUCGCCCGAGUUGGGGCGAACGACAAAAAGCAGUGGUGCCGGCGUAUGCCCCCUGGCUGGUGCGCGCACUCGCCCGAGGGUGAGUGCGCCGCCGUCGAGCGGCCUUGCCUCGGCGCCCCUCCCCAUCAUCUCCCCCUCGUCUUCCGCGCAGCGUCGACGACGGCUAGUGGCGGUGGUUGAUUACCCGCGCUCGUCGGCGACGACCAACGGCGGCAGUUGGCUACGGUGAAUAUGGCAGCGGUGGCGGCGGGUUGGCGGCGGCCGUGGGCGGAUCCGAGCGUGGUGGCAGCGGCUCUCUCCACCCCCUCUAGCCUCCCUCCUACGGCAGAUCCGCGGGUGGCGGCCGCGGGCGGAUCUAGCGGCGGUGGCUCCCUCCGCCCCCGCUCGCCUUCCUCCCACGGCAGAUCCGGCGGCGUUGGCGGCGUCGGCAGCGUUCGCGAGCGGAUAAGGAGUGGCGGUGGUGGCGUUGGCGGCGACUGUGGAUGGAUCCGGCGGCGGGCGCGCGUUGGCAACGACGGGCGGUGGCGGAGGGCUUCCCACACGGCGUCGGCGACGACCGGCCGUGGCGGAAAACUUCCCGUGCGGCGUCGGCGACGGCCGGCAAUGAGGUAUUUCGUUCCCUUUUUUUUCAAUUUUUGGUUAAAAUUUUUGGGGCUUUUCUUCGGGAAUCCGAGACCCCCUUUUUUUGUACGGACGAAAAAUCACCCGAUGGAUGAAACGGACUGUGAAGAAAGAAAAAUUACAAAUAUUUUAAUUAGUGAAGAUAUAGAAAAAAUUCCCAUGCGUUGUACUGGGUGAAGACUAUCUUAAUCUUAUUAUUAUUAUAUGGUUUAUCUAAAGUGAAAUUAAUUGUAGGAAUUUGCUUGGAUAUUGUUUUUAGUUUUUACACGAUCAUGAGCUACAAUUAGGAGUCCGAUCGUCUCAAGUUAGUAUGCAAAUUGAAGAUGUUUUUUUACAAAUAUAGAAGAAGCUCCUUCUAUAUUUCUAAAAGCAAACAAAUUUAAAACCUACUCAAAUACAAAUUUGUAAUUCAAAAAGCAAAUGAACUUAAAAGCCAACUUAAACACGUAUGAUGUAUCACAGUACUGAUAAAAACAUCUUCAAUUUAAAUUGAAAUAGUAGAGAUAGAGCAGUAUUUAAAUGAUAUUGAAAACAUUCAUGGCUAGUAAAACAAGUAUACUAAUUAAACCAUCGUUGUCUAAAAAAAAAUUAAACCAUCAAUGCUCACCAUCAGCCAGCUAUUUGCCCUCCACGCGUCGUUGAGUCUCGGGACACGUCCCAGUCAUCCAUGGCGACAACGGACGGACCCACACUUCUCGCCACUUCCCAGUCGGACCUAUCCGCCCAGGCGCCCUGGUAUCGGUCUUAUCCUCUUUUCCUCGCUUUCUCCGUCAUCCCUCGUUUUCUCGCGCCGCUGCUUGCCUCCGCUGAGCUCAUCUCGCUGCCCUCCUCACCCAUCGCCCCUGGCCACGCCUUCACUGCCGACUUCGCCGCCUUGGCUACGCUCGCGGUCGCGCUCGCCUGGAGGGCCGCCGCGCCGUGGCGGGAUGGGGUCGUCGCGCAGACUCCACCGCACCAGGUCGCCGCGCUACUUAUCUCCACCGCACCGUCGGCCAUGGAGAUAAAGGCUGCUGCCACCGGCGAUAAGGCGGUAGAGGAGCACCUUGUGAUUUUUUUUUUGUCAUCUCCAUCUAGGUAGAGGAGCGGGUGAGGUGAAGCGAUGAUUUCUUUGAUUGGGAUGUUUUGAUUGAGGAUUACUUAAGUACACAUGUGCCUUUCUUGGGUAAGGGAAGGAUGUGGGUGGUUGAUUUGGAGGGAGUUUCUUAGAUCGGUUUGGGAUUGGGGGAGAGUCGCUGCUGGAUUUGGGUUUCUUGCUGGUUUCUCAUGAUUCUUCUUCCCCCACAGCCACGAGAUAGCUAGAAGAAAAUGGUAGGCCAAUGCAGUCUUUCCUUCUCGAAUGCCUCGGCAGCGAGAGGAGCUGUCCUUGAAAAUUUGUGGUUGUUUUACGGGGAUCUUUGCCUCUUUGUGCUUUCCUGAUUCGCUAGCUUUGAUGCUGGUUCUUGCCUUGUGAUGUGGUGUAUCCGAUUUGGUUCAUUUGUUGCAUUGAAAACCUCCUGGUCUGGGCUGGCAGACGCUCAGGAUUUCUCGGAGGCGGGAGGCCCAGCACCGCGCCAUGCGUUUUUCCACCGCGGGGGCAACCGAGACGGAUUACACGAAUACACAACACGGAAGUCACACGCGUAGAUUUUUAUCGGAUAACAGGAGACGGACGAUUUUUUUAGCGGAAGCCUUGCGUAUUUUUUAAUUAGAUAUAUAUAGAUUUAUAUGCUUCAAGUCCUUGGCGGUUGGAUCUAGAUCGGAGGGACAAAAAAUUUGACAGAUUGAGAGGGUUGUUUUCUGUCGAAUGAGCAGUAGACAGUCCAUUAUCACAAAACUAUAGAUUUAGAACUAAUUUAGUCAUAAAAUAAUAAUGCUUAUAGAUCCAACAUAAUAAUAAUGGUUAUAGGGAUUUAAAGUUGUAGUUUUGUGAUAACUCCAAUUUUAAAUAUGUAGUUUUGUGAUAUUUAACUUUAAAUCUGUAGUUUUGUGAUAAAUAUGAUGCUAAAUCUGUAAUUUUGUGAUAUAACGCCUUAAAUUUGUAGUUUUGCAAUAGUUUAAUCAAAAUACCAAAAGUUUUGUGAAAUUUACUCUUAUGCGUUUCUUGCCAAUUAAUUACUCCACAUGUUUGCCACCAUUAAAACACAUAAUAGCAUAUUUGCAUUAAGAAAAAAGAAGCUAGAAUACAUGUUAUUUAGCUUCUCCUAAACCUCCAACUCUUUUCUUUCAAACAGUCUAGUUCCCACCUAAAUCUUAGGAAUAUGUGGUUGUAGAAUAAAAUGAAUUAGAAAAAAAAUACUGAAGCUAACUACGUCACAUCAUCUAUAAUUUAGUACAUAUUAAAACUCGACAUGUAACCAAUGCUAAAAUUUAUCAUUUCCAUAAUAUUUCAAUCUAUAUCUAUCUAUCAUUUCUUUCUUUAACAUUUAAUACAUAUCCAUCCAUCAUUUCUACAACAUUUAGCAUAUAUUUAUCAUGUAUUUGGCAGCAAAGCAGGAGAUGUAAGUGAUUUGUGAUUCAAAGACAUAACUUUUAUAUACCAGCUUAUUCACUA